AUUCAUAGUAAAAUGUACUCGCGGGCCGUAAAAAUAAUUUCGCGGGCCGUAUACGGCCCGCGGGCCGCCAGUUGGACAGCCCUGAACUAAACAUAAGUGUAGGAUUUUACUUUUUUGCUUGAAUAAGAACAAGAUCAAAUAAAUCAGAUUCGAGACUCGUUUGAACAACAAAUUCAUUAUAUAUUAAUCCAACAGAAUUAAAAGACAUUUAUUAUAGAUUUCAAUUUUAAGUUUAGAGUCAACAUAUGCAAGAACGCAUAUUCGUGUUUUUGAACUCUAUCUUUUUCUCUCUUUUCUCUUCCAUGAUGAAGAGGAGAAACAGACGUUUCCUACUCCUGUAUAGUUAUUUGUUUCACUGAUCUCGCUCCUUCUCUUAUUGAACAAUGCAGCAGUUUACAAUAUUGAGUUUAUUGCGGAAACAAAUAACGCGAAGAAACUUGUAUUGCUUAGAAUAUUUGCCAAAAAUGGUCAUAGUCGUAUUUUUUGCAUUUGAACAUCGAAGACCCUCAAAGUACUUCUCCCAAAGAACUUCUUAUUCUCAAUCUUUUUUGCUUUUCUCCUCCUCAUUUUCUGAAUUUUCUCUGGCUUGUUGAUUGUUUUUCUUGUCGAUAUGUUAUGCAUUCAUUCACUAGAACUUGAUGAAAUAUGUCAUUAUUAAAAGUCAUCUACUUUAUAUAUGAGACCUCUGUUCCUGGACAUACCUUUAUAUUUGGCACUUCUGUUUACUAGGCUAUAUUUCUGUUUGUUUCUCCGAUAUAACUAUUUGAAUUAUGUGGCUGUUAAUAAACCUUGUUUUUGUAUGAAACAUUCGGAAAACGUCAUUUAUAUGAUUGCAAAUCGUAUUAGCAAUAAAUACGGAUCACGUACGUUACGAGACAAAUUAUCCGCGAGUUGUCAUAUAAUAUUUCUCAAAUCAGCAUAGCUAUUUAAUAAAUAUAAAUAAACGUAAAAUAUAGAAUUUUAUGAAGUCUGUAUAACUAGAAAAUUUCUAUAAUAAAUUGUGUUACAAUAUGCUACAGUAAGAGCCUGUUCAAAUUCACUUCUCUCUUGCGAUAAACUUCUCAACUCUAUUUCCUUUCAAUAUUAUAACAGUAUAUAUUAUGUACAUUUCAUAUAAAAAUAUCAGAAAAAUUAAUGUAUAGUGUGUAUGAAAAUCAUAAAUAGUAUAAAUAAAACAAGCAAGUUAUAUAUAAUAUAAUGGGAAAAUAUUAAAAUUUUUAUUAUAACUGAUACAUGUUAAUUUAAAUAAAUAGGAAUUUAGUACGGCUU
This 1269-nucleotide long non-coding RNA is filed under the name Androctonus crassicauda. The record is from RNAcentral. Lineage: Eukaryota; Metazoa; Arthropoda; Arachnida; Scorpiones; Buthidae.